GAUGAGAUGGCUGGGUGGUUAAGGUGGUGGACUGCUAAUUCAUUAUGCUCUGCAUGUGUGGGUUCAAAUCCCACUCUUGUCA
Protopterus annectens (West African lungfish) is the source of this 82-nucleotide non-coding RNA. The record is from the annotation of a RefSeq genome assembly. Lineage: Eukaryota; Metazoa; Chordata; Ceratodontiformes; Protopteridae.